RNAcentral lists this ribosomal RNA (534 nucleotides) under Cutaneotrichosporon dermatis. RNAcentral describes it as "partial large subunit ribosomal RNA". It matches the Rfam family "Eukaryotic large subunit ribosomal RNA", at positions 113 to 638 of the family's 3401-position model. Lineage: Eukaryota; Fungi; Basidiomycota; Tremellomycetes; Trichosporonales; Trichosporonaceae. The record is from RNAcentral.
UUUGUAAUCUGGCUGUCUUCGAUAGUCCGAGUUGUAAUCUAUAGACGUGUUUUCCGUGCUGGACCGUAUCUAAGUCCCUUGGAACAGGGUAUCAAAGAGGGUGACAAUCCCGUGCUUGAUACGACCACCAGUGCUCUGUGAUACACGCUCUACGAGUCGAGUUGUUUGGGAAUGCAGCUCAAAAUGGGUGGUAAAUUCCAUCUAAAGCUAAAUAUUGGCGAGAGACCGAUAGCGAACAAGUACCGUGAGGGAAAGAUGAAAAGCACUUUGGAAAGAGAGUUAAACAGUACGUGAAAUUGUUGAAAGGGAAACGAUUGAAGUCAGUCGUGUUCUUUGGAUUCAGCUAGUUCUUCUAGUCUACUUCCAUUGAACGGGUCAACAUCAGUUUUGUCCGGUGGAUAAAGAUAGUAGGAAUGUAGCUCCCCCGGGAGUGUUAUAGACUAUUAUUGCAUACACUGGGUGAGACUGAGGACUGCAGCUCGCCUUUUGGCCGGUCUUCGGACACGUUCGAGCUUAGGAUGUUGACAUAAUGGC